This 233-nucleotide long non-coding RNA is filed under the name Musa acuminata (dwarf banana). Its description in RNAcentral is "long non-coding RNA (MACU_LNC011167)". Lineage: Eukaryota; Viridiplantae; Streptophyta; Magnoliopsida; Zingiberales; Musaceae. The record is from RNAcentral.
GACAAGCUAUUCUGAAAAAUUUAUACAACAACGGGGUGAGCAUAUAAAGCUCAGCAAGUGACUAACAUAUCCAUGUCAAAAGAGGACAAUUUCCAAAGAGAUAAAGUUUCAAAAUGCAAGGCAGAAUAUAAGAAUUCAUAGACGUAAUAUCAUUAGGUGCAGAAUCACAAUUGUCAUUUCAAUCAAACAUAUUUGGUUCAUAACAGAUGGGGCAUAGAGUAAUUGGAGCAUAU